Molecule: long non-coding RNA, 2338 nt
Organism: Halichondria panicea
Lineage: Eukaryota; Metazoa; Porifera; Demospongiae; Suberitida; Halichondriidae
Exons: 4
Source: RefSeq, a predicted model, not a curated record
CUUCAUUCUAAACCGAUUUUUUCCCAAUACAUGAUUUGGGAGAAAAUCAACCUUGGAAAUAGCCUUUGCAAGCCUUUUGCAUCACCACUGAAGCUAUCCUUGAGAUUGUAAGCACUUCCAAUAGUUUUGUGAGCUACUAUUAGUAACACAGGACUGGAUGUCUGGAGCUAAGAGAGAGAGAUUCUACUGUCUAUAUGACUCAUCACUGACAUCAGCUUGCAGCAACACAAAAUGAGUAGGCAGACCGGGGUAGUCACUUCAACCAGUUCCUUAUAUAAUACUGAGAAGCUACACUCUUAUUUCAGACUUCUCUGGAUAACUACUAGUAACGAAUAAGUUUGUCUGUAAAUGAAAACCAUGUAAAAAAACUUGCCUGACUCAGCAAUAUUGUGCUCCCGUGAUGUUGUCCAACCUUAAAUGUUUGGGAAUAUCACGUGACCAGUGACUUCCGCUCUAGACAUUGGCAAGAACUCUGAAAACCGCAGUACACUUUCCAGAUUAUGGCAAUGGGACUCUGAUGAAUGGACCAAAGGUAGAUUACGUCAUGAGGAGGCUGAGAGCCUGCAGGGUGGGUGGGGCUCACACAAGCCCCAUGCAACAUGCACACAGUACAGAGCUAGACGCUCAAGUAUCCCUGCAGCAUGUAGCCUAUGCAGCAUGUAGAUAUACUGUUGAUUGAAGCAUAGAUAGUAGAAGAAGUAACGGAGUAGUCUCUCGAAACAUGUCUGUCGAUUCCUCUACUAUCUAUAAUUGAAGCAACAAUUUAAGAAAGGUAUGGAACAGCUGGUCCAGGUCUCUCUGGUGUCCUUUCACUCCCUACACAAAGUACAAGCGUUUAAACAUUCUCGAUAUGGCUCCGUUGGUAUCAAGUAAACCUGAAAAUGCAUUCGUUGGUCCAUUAAAGUUCCUAUUUCAGUGGGUGGACCAACAAACGGGCUGGAUAAUAAGCAAGAAAAUAGUUUACUUACUUUGCAUGCAUUCUUUUUAUAGCCGUAUCCGAGCUCAUUUAAAAGCUUGGUGUCUCCGUUGGCAUCAGGAAAACCUGCUCGUUGGUCCAUACAGGAGGCCGUUUCUGGAAACUAGGUGGACCAACGGCCUGGACGACAAGUAAAGUUCACGCACUUUGAAUGCAUUCUGUGUUCCCCAGGUUGGUGUGAUUAUGAGCUCAUUUCAAAGCUUGGUGUCUCCGUUGGCAUCAUUAUAAACUGGAAAUCCUGCUUGUUGGUCUAUGAGGUUUCCUGUUUCUGGAAACUGGAUGGACCAACGGCCUGGACGACAAGUUGGUGUGAGCAAGCUUGCAUGGUGUCUCCGUUGGCAUCAUUAAACUGGAAAACCUGCUCGUUGGUCCAUAAGGUUUCCUGUUUCUGGAAACUGGGUGGACAAAUGGCCUGAACAACAAGUAAGAAAAUAGUUCACGCACUUUCUUUUAAUGUGUUCCAGGUUGGUGUGAGCUUCAAAGCUUGCAUGGUGUCUCCAUUGGCAUCUUUAAACUAGAAAACCUGCUCGUUGGUCCAUAAGGUUUCCUGCUUCUGGAAACUAGGUGGACCAACAGCCUGGACGACAAGUAAGAAAUAGUUCACGCAGCUUGAAUGCAAUGUGUUCCAGGUUGGUGUCAGCUCAUUUCAAAACUUAGUGUCUCUUGUUUGCAUCAAUUAAAGGAAAACCUGCUCGUUGGUCCAUAAGGUUUCCUGUUUCUGGAAACUAGGUGGACCAACGGCCUGGACGACAAGUAAGAAAAUAGUUCACGCAGCUUUAAUGUGUUCCUGCAUAGUUGGUGUCAGAGCUUGGUGGCUCUCCGUUGGCAUCAUGCAGUUAUACUAAAAAACCUGGACGUUGGCCCAUAACCUCUUCUGUUUUUGGAAACUGGGCGGACCAACGGCCUGGACGACACUGACAAGUGGGUAUCAGCUCAUUUCAAAUGCUGCAUGCAUGGUGGCUUUGUUGGAAACUCGAAAACCUGUUCCCUGCAUGGUCUAUCAGAAUAUCAUAUCCAGCCGGAAAUUGGAUAGACACAACAGCCUAUACGACAGCUGCAUCUACAGACUCUAUUAUACAUUAGACUGAAUGAAAGCCUCACUGCGACUCUGUAUGCUGAAAUCUACAAUGACAUUUAAGCUAAGAGCUCAGCUUGUCUACUCACUAGACUAUAGUGUAUUUUUGUCAAAUGUGGUUGUACCUAAAACAUGUGUGGUGAUACUAUGUGUAGCUACUAUAUCAGACAGGUCUCAUCAAGAGAUUCUUGUUCCUGCAUGGAUUUAACUAGAAUACUGAUGAUGUGUAUUCCUCGCUUAUCUGAGUUGGUCCAUUUCUGUGGCUUAGCCUAUAUAUAAUGAUUAAU